Non-coding RNA from Momordica charantia (bitter melon), 293 nucleotides. The record is from RefSeq and is a predicted model, not a curated record. NCBI's taxonomy places the organism in Eukaryota, Viridiplantae, Streptophyta, Magnoliopsida, Cucurbitales, Cucurbitaceae.
UUUCAAGCUCUCUUAGUUGCUGAAAAUUUUCUAUUUUUAUUCUUUACGGUAGAGAGGAAAACGCACCAACGGAAGCUUUAAGGAAUUUCUUUUAGUUUGCGAAGUUCAGAUAGUUAUAUAGUUGAUGAGAAUAACGUCGAGGAUGACCUGGACAUUGACGAGGAAGAGAUAUGAGACACAGUUGAAUUUUAUUUAUAAUCUAUACUUUUAAUUAUGACUAUACCACAUUUUUACUUGUUUUAUUUAAGGAUAAUAACUUUGUGAUUUCUGCUACUAAAGAUUUAUAAGUCAAG